RNAcentral lists this ribosomal RNA (366 nucleotides) under Triticum aestivum (bread wheat). RNAcentral's name for it is "partial small subunit ribosomal RNA". The record is from RNAcentral. Lineage: Eukaryota; Viridiplantae; Streptophyta; Magnoliopsida; Poales; Poaceae.
AUGGAGAAGUCCGCAAUAAUGUUCAGCCCCAACACGGAUGACGCUGGAAGGGUAGCGGUGAAGAGCACCCUAGCUAUCCAGAGUGAGAAUUGGAAUGAGAAAUACCUCGGCCUCCCAGUUCAUGUAGGGUGCUCAAGAAGGCGGGCAUUCAGUUGCAUCAAACGUAAUUUGUGUGGGAGAGUUAAUGGAUGGCAGGAGAGACUUCUAGCAAAAGAGAGCAAAGAAGUGCUUGUGAAGGGGGUGGCUCAAGCCAUACCCGCGUUCGCCAUGUCAUGCUUCGACCUCACUAAAACCUUUUGUGCAGAAUUGAAUACACUGAUGGGCAAGUUUUGGUGGAGCCAACAAGAUAAGCAAAAUCCGAUGCAU